CCGUUGCCGGCGACCGGCGCACGGGUGAGUAACACGUAUGCAACCUGCCCGUGGCAGGGGGAUAAGCGGGGGAAACCCCGUCUAAUACCGCGUAACGCGGCCUAGGGACAUCCCAAGGCCGCCAAAGGGAGCAAUCCCGGCCACGGAUGGGCAUGCGGCGCAUUAGCUAAUCGGCGGGGUAACGGCCCACCGAGGCGACGAUGCGUAGGGGUUCUGAGAGGAAGGCCCCCCACACUGGUACUGAGACACGGACCAGACUCCUACGGAAGGCAGCAG
This 276-nucleotide ribosomal RNA is filed under the name uncultured bacterium. Its description in RNAcentral is "partial 16S ribosomal RNA". It matches the Rfam family "Bacterial small subunit ribosomal RNA", at positions 82 to 354 of the family's 1533-position model. The record is from RNAcentral.